CCUGCCGCUAGAAGCUGCAGGGUGGCUGCUGUGUCACAUGCGCAUCACUAGCUGACAGGGAGGAGCGAGGCUCUGGUUAUGCUCAGCGUUCUGACCUAUGAACAUCUGAGCCAUUAGUAGCCUAACAUG
This is a small nucleolar RNA of Psammomys obesus (fat sand rat), 129 nucleotides long. RefSeq annotates it as small nucleolar RNA SNORA17. The record is from RefSeq and is a predicted model, not a curated record. The transcript has a single exon. Lineage: Eukaryota; Metazoa; Chordata; Mammalia; Rodentia; Muridae.